GAUGAAGAACGUAGCGAAAUGCGAAAAGUAAUGUGAAUUGCAGAAUUCAGUGAAUCAUCGAAUCUUUGAACGCACAUUGCGCCCGCUGGUACUCCGGCGGGCACGCCUGUCCGAGCGUCAUUUCAACCCUCAAGCCUUCCUUCGGGAUGGGCCUGGUGUUGGGGCUCGGCCGCCAUCUCCGGCGGCCGUCCCCUAAAUACAGUGGCGGUCACGUCGCGACUCCUUUGCGUAGUAGAAACACCUCGCUCCGGAUAGCAACGCGGUCCACGCCGUAAAAUCCCCAAUUUUCAAUGGUUGACCUCGGAUCAGGUGGGAAUACCCGCUGAACUUAAGCAUAUCAAUAAGCGGAGGA
RNAcentral lists this unclassified non-coding RNA (352 nucleotides) under soil metagenome. RNAcentral describes it as "partial contains 5.8S ribosomal RNA, internal transcribed spacer 2, and large subunit ribosomal RNA". The stretch from base 1 to 120 matches the Rfam family "5.8S ribosomal RNA", at positions 35 to 154 of the family's 154-position model. The record is from RNAcentral.